This 2917-nucleotide ribosomal RNA is filed under the name Pasteurella multocida. Its description in RNAcentral is "23S ribosomal RNA". It matches the Rfam family "Bacterial large subunit ribosomal RNA". The record is from RNAcentral. Lineage: Bacteria; Pseudomonadati; Pseudomonadota; Gammaproteobacteria; Pasteurellales; Pasteurellaceae.
GUUGUAUGGUUAAGUGACUAAGCGUACAGGGCGGAUGCCUUGGCAAUCAGAGGCGAAGAAGGACGUGCUAAUCUGCGAAAAGCUUGGAUGAGUCGAUAAGAGGCGUUUAAUCCAAGAUGUCCGAAUGGGGAAACCCGAUGGAUGAAGAAUCCAUCAUUUCAUUGUGAAUACAUAGCAAUGAAAGGCGAACCGGGAGAACUGAAACAUCUAAGUACCCCGAGGAAAAGAAAUCAACCGAGAUUCUGUGAGUAGCGGCGAGCGAAAGCGGAAGAGCCAGUAAGUUUUAGCUAGUGUAUUAGAGGAAUUGGCUGGGAAGCCAAAUCAAAGAGGGUGAUAAUCCCGUACUCGAAAAUACGAUAGUGGAACUAAGCUUACGAUAAGUAGGGCGGGACACGAGAAAUCCUGUUUGAAGAUGGGGGACCAUCCUCCAAGGCUAAAUACUCCUGAUUGACCGAUAGUGAACCAGUACUGUGAAGGAAAGGCGAAAAGAACCCCGGUGAGGGGAGUGAAAUAGAACCUGAAACCCUGUACGUACAAGCAGUAGGAGCCUGAAAGGGUGACUGCGUACCUUUUGUAUAAUGGGUCAGCGACUUAUAUUUUGUAGCGAGGUUAACUGAAUAAGGGAGCCGAAGGGAAACCGAGUCUUAACUGGGCGUUGAGUUGCAAGGUAUAGACCCGAAACCCGGUGAUCUAGCCAUGGGCAGGUUGAAGGUUGGGUAACACUAACUGGAGGACCGAACCGACUAAUGUUGAAAAAUUAGCGGAUGACUUGUGGCUGGGGGUGAAAGGCCAAUCAAACCGGGAGAUAGCUGGUUCUCCCCGAAAUCUAUUUAGGUAGAGCCUUGAGCGGACACCUUCGGGGGUAGAGCACUGUUUCGGCUAGGGGUCCAUCCCGGAUUACCAACCCGAUGCAAACUGCGAAUACCGAAGAGUGAUACUCAGGAGACACACGGCGGGUGCUAACGUUCGUCGUGGAGAGGGAAACAACCCAGACCGCCAGCUAAGGUCCCAAAGUCUAUAUUAAGUGGGAAACGAAGUGGGAAGGCUUAGACAGCUAGGAUGUUGGCUUAGAAGCAGCCAUCAUUUAAAGAAAGCGUAAUAGCUCACUAGUCGAGUCGGCCUGCGCGGAAGAUGUAACGGGGCUCAAAUAUAGCACCGAAGCUGCGGCAUCAGAAUUUAUUCUGUUGGGUAGGGGAGCGUUGUGUAAGCGGAAGAAGGUGGCUCGAGAGGGCUGCUGGACGUAUCACAAGUGCGAAUGCUGACAUAAGUAACGAUAAAACGAGUGAAAAACUCGUUCGCCGGAAGACCAAGGGUUCCUGUCCAACGUUAAUCGGGGCAGGGUGAGUCGGCCCCUAAGGCGAGGCUGAAAAGCGUAGUCGAUGGGAAACGGGUUAAUAUUCCCGUACUUGGUAAAGCUGCGAUGUGGGGACGGAGAAGGUUAGGUAAGCGGACUGUUGGAAAUGUCCGUUUAAGUUGGUAGUUGGGAGCGGUAGGCAAAUCCGCUGCUCCAUUCAACAACGAGAGAUGAUGACGAGGCUCUACGGAGCUGAAGUUACCGAUACCCGGCUUCCAGGAAAAGCCACUAAGCGAAAGGCUUUAUUAAACCGUACUGAAAACCGACACAGGUGGUCAGGUAGAGAAUACUCAGGCGCUUGAGAGAACUCGGGUGAAGGAACUAGGCAAAAUAGCACCGUAACUUCGGGAGAAGGUGCGCUUACAGUAAUUGUAGUCCCUUGCGGAUGAAGGUGAAGUAAGUCGAAGAUACCAGCUGGCUGCAACUGUUUAUUAAAAACACAGCACUCUGCAAACACGAAAGUGGACGUAUAGGGUGUGAUGCCUGCCCGGUGCUGGAAGGUUAAUUGAUGGUGUUAUCGAAAGAGAAGCUCCUGAUCGAAGCCCCAGUAAACGGCGGCCGUAACUAUAACGGUCCUAAGGUAGCGAAAUUCCUUGUCGGGUAAGUUCCGACCUGCACGAAUGGCAUAAUGAUGGCCAGGCUGUCUCCACCCGAGACUCAGUGAAAUUGAAAUCGCCGUGAAGAUGCGGUGUACCCGCGGCUAGACGGAAAGACCCCGUGAACCUUUACUAUAGCUUGACACUGAACAUUGAAUUUUGAUGUGUAGGAUAGGUGGGAGCCUUUGAAGCAGUGACGCCAGUCAUUGUGGAGGCGACCUUGAAAUACCACCCUUUAACGUUUGAUGUUCUAACGAAGUGCCUGAAACGGGUACUCGGACAGUGUCUGGUGGGUAGUUUGACUGGGGCGGUCUCCUCCCAAAGCGUAACGGAGGAGCACGAAGGUUUGCUAAUGACGGUCGGACAUCGUCAGGUUAGUGCAAUGGUAUAAGCAAGCUUAACUGCGAGACGGACAAGUCGAGCAGGUGCGAAAGCAGGUCAUAGUGAUCCGGUGGUUCUGAAUGGAAGGGCCAUCGCUCAACGGAUAAAAGGUACUCCGGGGAUAACAGGCUGAUACCGCCCAAGAGUUCAUAUCGACGGCGGUGUUUGGCACCUCGAUGUCGGCUCAUCACAUCCUGGGGCUGAAGUAGGUCCCAAGGGUAUGGCUGUUCGCCAUUUAAAGUGGUACGCGAGCUGGGUUUAGAACGUCGUGAGACAGUUCGGUCCCUAUCUGCCGUGGGCGUUGGAUGAUUGAUUGGGGCUGCUCCUAGUACGAGAGGACCGGAGUGGACGCAUCACUGGUGUUCCAGUUGUCUCGCCAGAGGCAUUGCUGGGUAGCUAAAUGCGGAAGAGAUAAGUGCUGAAAGCAUCUAAGCACGAAACUUGCCAAGAGAUGAGUCAUCCCUGACUUUAAGUCAGUAAGGGUUGUUUAAGACUAAGACGUAGAUAGGUUGGGUGUGUAAGUGUAGUGAUACAUUGAGCUAACCAAUACUAAUUGCCCGAGAGGCUUAACCAUACAACGCUCAAG